AAUGAACGUUGGCGGCGUGGAUUAGGCAUGCAAGUCGAGCGAGAACCCCGCAAGGGGGGACAGCGGCGCAAGGGACAGUAAUGUGUAGAUUAUCUGCCCUCAGGUCCGGGAUAGCUGCGGGAAACUGCAGGUAAUACCGGAUAACAUCUCCGGAUCAAAGGUGUGAUUCCGCCUGAGGAUGAGUCUGCAUCCUAUUAGCUAGUUGGUGGGGUAAUGGCCUACCAAGGCAUUGAUGGGUAGCAGGUGUGAGAGCACGACCUGCGUCAUUGGGACUGAGACACUGCCCAGACACCUACGGGUGGCUGCAGUCGAGAAUCUUCGGCAAUGGGCGCAAGCCUGACCGAGCGACGCCGCGUGUGGGAUGAAGGCCUUCGGGUUGUAAACCACUGUCAGAGGGGAUGAAAUGCAGGUGGGUUCUCCCAUCUGUUUGACAUAGCCUCAGAGGAAGGACGGGCUAAGUUCGUG
RNAcentral lists this ribosomal RNA (465 nucleotides) under uncultured bacterium. Its description in RNAcentral is "partial 16S ribosomal RNA". It matches the Rfam family "Bacterial small subunit ribosomal RNA", at positions 29 to 507 of the family's 1533-position model. The record is from RNAcentral.